RNAcentral lists this ribosomal RNA (255 nucleotides) under uncultured archaeon. RNAcentral describes it as "partial 16S ribosomal RNA". It matches the Rfam family "Bacterial small subunit ribosomal RNA", at positions 521 to 776 of the family's 1533-position model. The record is from RNAcentral.
UAAUACGUAGGGGGCGAGCGUUGUCCGGAAUUAUUGGGCGUAAAGGGUUCGCAGGCGGCCUUUUAAGUCAGAUGUGAAAGCCCACGGCUUAACCGUGGUAAGCAUUUGAAACUGGAAGGCUUGAGUUAAGGAGAGGAAAGUGGAAUUCCUAGUGUAGCGGUGAAAUGCGUAGAUAUUAGGAGGAAUACCAGUGGCGAAGGCGACUUUCUGGACUUAUACUGACGCUGAGGAACGAAAGCGUGGGGAGCAAACAGG